This 1643-nucleotide ribosomal RNA is filed under the name Staphylococcus aureus. Its description in RNAcentral is "partial 23S ribosomal RNA". It matches the Rfam family "Bacterial large subunit ribosomal RNA", at positions 48 to 1735 of the family's 2925-position model. The record is from RNAcentral. Lineage: Bacteria; Bacillati; Bacillota; Bacilli; Caryophanales; Staphylococcaceae.
GAUGAAGGACGUGCUAAUCUGCGAUAAGCGUCGGUAAGGUGAUAUGAACCGUUAUAACCGGCGAUUUCCGAAUGGGGAAACCCAGUGUGAUUCGUCACACUAUCAUUAACUGAAUCCAUAGGUUAAUGAGGCGAACCGGGGGAACUGAAACAUCUAAGUACCCCGAGGAAAAGAAAUCAACCGAGAUUCCCCCAGUAGCGGCGAGCGAACGGGGAGGAGCCCAGAGCCUGAAUCAGUGUGUGUGUUAGUGGAAGCGUCUGGAAAGGCGCGCGAUACAGGGUGACAGCCCCGUACACAAAAAUGCACAUGCUGUGAGCUCGAUGAGUAGGGCGGGACACGUGGUAUCCUGUCUGAAUAUGGGGGGACCAUCCUCCAAGGCUAAAUACUCCUGACUGACCGAUAGUGAACCAGUACCGUGAGGGAAAGGCGAAAAGAACCCCGGCGAGGGGAGUGAAAAAGAACCUGAAACCGUGUACGUACAAGCAGUGGGAGCCUCUUUAUGGGGUGACUGCGUACCUUUUGUAUAAUGGGUCAGCGACUUAUAUUCUGUAGCAAGGUUAACCGAAUAGGGGAGCCGAAGGGAAACCGAGUCUUAACUGGGCGUUAAGUUGCAGGGUAUAGACCCGAAACCCGGUGAUCUAGCCAUGGGCAGGUUGAAGGUUGGGUAACACUAACUGGAGGACCGAACCGACUAAUGUUGAAAAAUUAGCGGAUGACUUGUGGCUGGGGGUGAAAGGCCAAUCAAACCGGGAGAUAGCUGGUUCUCCCCGAAAGCUAUUUAGGUAGCGCCUCGUGAAUUCAUCUCCGGGGGUAGAGCACUGUUUCGGCAAGGGGGUCAUCCCGACUUACCAACCCGAUGCAAACUGCGAAUACCGGAGAAUGUUAUCACGGGAGACACACGGCGGGUGCUAACGUCCGUCGUGAAGAGGGAAACAACCCAGACCGCCAGCUAAGGUCCCAAAGUCAUGGUUAAGUGGGAAACGAUGUGGGAAGGCCCAGACAGCCAGGAUGUUGGCUUAGAAGCAGCCAUCAUUUAAAGAAAGCGUAAUAGCUCACUGGUCGAGUCGGCCUGCGCGGAAGAUGUAACGGGGCUAAACCAUGCACCGAAGCUGCGGCAGCGACACUAUGUGUUGUUGGGUAGGGGAGCGUUCUGUAAGCCUGCGAAGGUGUACUGUGAGGUAUGCUGGAGGUAUCAGAAGUGCGAAUGCUGACAUAAGUAACGAUAAAGCGGGUGAAAAGCCCGCUCGCCGGAAGACCAAGGGUUCCUGUCCAACGUUAAUCGGGGCAGGGUGAGUCGACCCCUAAGGCGAGGCCGAAAGGCGUAGUCGAUGGGAAACAGGUUAAUAUUCCUGUACUUGGUGUUACUGCGAAGGGGGGACGGAGAAGGCUAUGUUGGCCGGGCGACGGUUGUCCCGGUUUAAGCGUGUAGGCUGGUUUUCCAGGCAAAUCCGGAAAAUCAAGGCUGAGGCGUGAUGACGAGGCACUACGGUGCUGAAGCAACAAAUGCCCUGCUUCCAGGAAAAGCCUCUAAGCAUCAGGUAACAUCAAAUCGUACCCCAAACCGACACAGGUGGUCAGGUAGAGAAUACCAAGGCGCUUGAGAGAACUCGGGUGAAGGAACUAGGCAAAAUGGUGCCGUAACU